Molecule: ribosomal RNA, 478 nt
Filed under: uncultured bacterium
Lineage: Bacteria
Description: partial 16S ribosomal RNA
Rfam family: Bacterial small subunit ribosomal RNA
Source: RNAcentral
GAUGAACGCUGGCGGCGUGCUUAACACAUGCAAGUCGAACGGGAAACCUUUUAAUGAAGCUUCGGCAGAUUUAGCUGGUUUCUAGUGGCGGACGGGUGAGUAACGCGUGGGUAACCUGCCUUAUACAGGGGGAUAACAGUCAGAAAUGACUGCUAAUACCGCAUAAGCGCACAGGACCGCAUGGUCCGGUGUGAAAAACUCCGGUGGUAUAAGAUGGACCCGCGUUGGAUUAGCUUGUUGGUGGGGUAACGGCUCACCAAGGCGACGAUCCAUAGCCGGCCUGAGAGAGGGAACGGCCACAUUGGGACUGAGACACGGCCCAGACUCCUACGGGAGGCAGCAGUGGGGAAUAUUGCACAAUGGGGGAAACCCUGAUGCAGCGACGCCGCGUGAAGGAAGAAGUAUCUCGGUAUGUAAACUUCUAUCAGCAGGGAAGAUAGUGACGGUACCUGACUAAGAAGCCCCGGCUAACUACGUG